UAAAAGACAUUUUCAAACUAAAUCACUCUCCUUGUACUCUGUAGAAGGCAACAGACAUGGAUUUUGUGGCUAAUAUAUGUAUGAAUGUUUUUCUCAAAAAAAUAUACAACUGUCAGUAAAUUUCCUCUGAUUUCAGAUGGCACACUUGGAAAUAAUACCAUAAAGGCUCAUUAUUUUAAACAACUAUUGAUUACAUCUUGGGGAUUUUCACCAAUUCCACUUGAUGCUGCUUUUAAAAUGAAAUAACAGAAAAUUCCAAGAAAUGGAAGCCGCUGCUAGUAAAAGAAGAAAAGCCGAGUAUCGUCAGGGUUAAUAGCUCCUAUUUGAGAUCCAUGAAUGAUUACAAAGUUACUUUUCUAUAUCGAACUUUCAAGUCUCAUUAAUAAUAUGCUGCCUCUCCAGGACACAGGUGCACUCACGGUACAAAGGCUAUCGGUUCAUCACAUGGA
RNAcentral lists this long non-coding RNA (449 nucleotides) under Lonchura striata (white-rumped munia). RNAcentral describes it as "domestica (Bengalese finch) lncRNA (ENSLSDG00000013181.1)". Lineage: Eukaryota; Metazoa; Chordata; Aves; Passeriformes; Estrildidae. The record is from RNAcentral.